This 615-nucleotide long non-coding RNA is filed under the name Phaseolus vulgaris (common bean). Its description in RNAcentral is "long non-coding RNA (PVUL_LNC002495)". Lineage: Eukaryota; Viridiplantae; Streptophyta; Magnoliopsida; Fabales; Fabaceae. The record is from RNAcentral.
AAAAACGAAAAGGUCAGAAUGAAUGGAAGAAGAGGGAAUGAUGAAUGUUUCGGUGAAAAUAGAGAGGGGAAAGGAGAAGGAGAUGCCCAGGUGAAAAGAGAAAGAAGAAGAAGCAGAAGUCAGAGCGAGGGCAUGAAAAACCCUAGCGCGGGUUCGAGAGAGGGAAAUAGAGAAGAUGAAUGCAUGAUAACCAGAAUGAUAAAUGCAAUCGGUAAAGAUGACCAAAAAGGGGCCAGGGAGAAGAAAAACCAUACCUUUGGAUGAUCGCAAGAGUUUGGGAAGCAGAAAAUUUGAAGAAAGAUGGGUGCGCAGAGGAGAAGUUCGCAGAGAGUCUGGGAGUCGAAUGAAGAAGAUGGAGGAACAGUGAAAGGGCGCGCCAAUUUGAAUAAGAGAAGCGCUAGCGACGCACAGCGCUGGCCGUUGAUGGGGCCACGUGUCGCGAGAUUAAGAGAAGAAGUCCAAACGUUAAAGACGCAGCACGUGAGGUGGCACGUGAGGCGGCCCCACUUGCCACGUGGACUGAGGGCACGACCACUUAGUCUCUUUGCUGAGAACGAGUUCUCGACUCGAGACUGGGGGGCUUGUGAUCCGAUCGGUCAUCGGUAGUCGAUGACG